UUGGAGGGCAAGUCUGGUGCCAGCAGCCGCGGUAAUUCCAGCUCCAAUAGCGUAUAUUAAAGUUGUUGCAGUUAAAAAGCUCGUAGUUGAAUUUCGGGAUCAAAUUGUCGGUCGUGCCUCGGUACGCACUGGUAUUAUUGGUUCCUACCUUCUGAAGAACCGCGAUGUCAUUAAUUUGGUGUCGUGGGGAAUCAGGACUGUUACUUUGAAAAAAUUAGAGUGUUUAAAGCAGGCUUACGCUUGAAUACAUUAGCAUGGAAUAAUGAAAUAGGACGUUUGAUUCUAUUUUGUUGGUUUCUAGGAUUGACGUAAUGAUUAAUAGGGAUAGUUGGGGGCAUUAGUAUUCAAUUGUCAGAGGUGAAAUUCUUGGAUUUAUUGAAGACUAACUACUGCGAAAGCAUUUGCCAAGCAUGUUUUCAUUAAUCAAGAACGAAAGCUAGGGGAUCGAAGACGAUCAGAUACCGUCGUAGUCUUAACCAUAAACUAUGCCGACUAGGGAUCGGAUGAUGUUAAUUUUUUAAUGACUCAUUCGGCGCCUUACGGGAAACCAAAGUGUUUGGGUUC
This 564-nucleotide ribosomal RNA is filed under the name uncultured Glomeromycotina. Its description in RNAcentral is "SSU rRNA". It matches the Rfam family "Eukaryotic small subunit ribosomal RNA", at positions 548 to 1114 of the family's 1831-position model. Lineage: Eukaryota; Fungi; Glomeromycota. The record is from RNAcentral.